RNAcentral lists this ribosomal RNA (1351 nucleotides) under metagenome. Its description in RNAcentral is "bacterial LSU rRNA". It matches the Rfam family "Bacterial large subunit ribosomal RNA", at positions 1564 to 2925 of the family's 2925-position model. The record is from RNAcentral.
CGAGUCCGAGUCUCCACGGAGACGAAGUGGCGGUCAUCCAGCUUCCUAGAAAAGCUCUAACCACGUUAAUCUUUAGUUGCCUGUACCCGAAACCGACACAGGUAGGGGGGUAGAGAUUACCAAGGGGCGCGAGAUAACUCUCUCUAAGGAACUCGGCGAAAUGACCCCGUAACUUCGGGAGAAGGGGUACCACUGAGAAGUGGUCGCAGUGAAGAGGCCCAGGCGACUGUUUACCAAAAACACAGGUCUCCGCCAAGUCGCAAGACGAAGUAUGGGGGCUGACGCCUGCCCAGUGCCGGAAGGUUAAGGAAGUGGGUUAGGGAUUCGUCCCGAAGCUGACGACUGAAGCCCCGGUGAACGGCGGCCGUAACUAUAACGGUCCUAAGGUAGCGAAAUUCCUUGUCGGGUAAGUUCCGACCCGCACGAAAGGCGUAACGAUCUGGGCGCUGUCUCGGAGAGAGGCUCGGCGAAAUAGGAAUGUCUGUGAAGAUACGGACUACCUGCACCUGGACAGAAAGACCCUAUGAAGCUUUACUGUAGCUUGGAAUUGGGUUCGGGCUUGGUUUGCGCAGGAUAGGUGGGAGGCGAAGAAGAUUUGCUUGUGGGUGAAUCUGAGCCAACGGUGAGAUACCACUCUAACCAGGCUAGAAUUCUAACUUCAACCCGUCAACCGGGGGAAGGACAGUUUCAGGUGGGCAGUUUGACUGGGGCGGUCGCCUCCUAAAAGAUAACGGAGGCGCACAAAGGUUCCCUCAGGCUGGUUGGAAAUCAGCCAACGAGUGCAAAGGCAGAAGGGAGCUUGACUGCGAGACCUACAAGUCAAGCAGGGUGGAAACACGGUCUUAGUGAUCCGACGGCACCGAGUGGAAGGGCCGUCGCUCAACGGAUAAAAGUUACUCUAGGGAUAACAGGCUGAUCUCCCCCAAGAGUUCACAUCGACGGGGAGGUUUGGCACCUCUCUCGGCUCAUCGCAACCUGGGGCGGAAGUACGUCCCAAGGGUUGGGCUGUUCGCCCAUUAAAGCGGUACGUGAGCUGAGUUCAGAACGCCGUGAGACAGUUCGGUCCAUAUCCGGUGUAGGCGCAAGAACAUUGAGAGGAGUCUUCCUUAGUACGAGAGGACCGGGAAGAACGCACCGCUGGUGUACCUGUUAUCGUGCCAACGGUAAACGCAGGGUAGCCAAGUGCGGAGUGGAUAACCGCUGAAAGCAUCUAAGUGGGAAGCCCACCUCAAGAUGAGCGUUCUCAUGGAGUAAUCCAGUAAGGUCACGGGAAGACGACCCGUUGAUAGGCGGUAGGUGGAAGUUCAGCAAUGGAUGAAGCCGAGCCGUACUAACAGACCGAGGGCUUGAC